This is a non-coding RNA of Phyllostomus hastatus (greater spear-nosed bat), 593 nucleotides long. NCBI's taxonomy places the organism in Eukaryota, Metazoa, Chordata, Mammalia, Chiroptera, Phyllostomidae. The record is from the annotation of a RefSeq genome assembly.
CCUGAGAGAGGCAGUGAUGUCACUAUGGGAACAGCCCCGAGGUGACAAGACAUGUUCCCUCCUCCUCUGCUCCUGCUCACAAGGACCUGACCCAGUGAACUUCCCACUCCUGACCUGACCCUGCCAUGGGCACCAGGCUCCUCUGCUGGGCGACCCUCUGUCUGCUGGGGGCCGGUCACACAGAGGCUGGAGUCUCCCAGUCCCCGAGGAACCAGGUCACCGAGAGGGGACAGAAUGUGACAUUUCGGUGUGAUCCUAUUCCUGGCCACUUUGGCCUUUAUUGGUACCAACACGUGCCAGGGCAGGGCCCGAAGUUCUUGGUGUACUUCCGAGGCAAGGAACCUGUGGACACCUCCGGGAUGCCUAAGGAUCGGUUCUUCAUUGUGAGACCUGACGGCUCCUCCUCCACUCUGAGCAUCCAGCCUGCAGAGCCUGGGGAUUCGGCCGUGUACCUCUGUGCCAGCACUGCAACCACAGUGUGGCACUGUCACCGCCUCCCUGCUCACAAACCCUCCUGUGCUCCCCUCUGCUCAUGGUUCCCAGACUCCCUAGCAGGAGGUGUCAACAGCAUUGCUGCAGAAGUGGCCACAUGA